CUUAGAGUUUGAUCCUGGCUCAGGAUGAUUUCUGGCGGUAUGCUUAACACAUGCAAGUCGAACGGUGUCUUCGGACAUAGUGGCGGACGGGUGAGUAACGCGUGAGAAUCUAGCUUCAGGUCUGGGACAACCACUGGAAACGGUGGCUAAUACCGGAUGUGCCGGAAGGUGAGAGGCUUGCUGCCUGAAGAUGAGCUCGCGUCCGAUUAGCUAGUAGGUGGGGUAAGAGCCUACCUAGGCGACGAUCGGUAGCUGGUCUGAGAGGAUGACCAGCCACACUGGGACUGAGACACGGCCCAGACUCCUACGGGAGGCAGCAGUGGGGAAUUUUCCGCAAUGGGCGAAAGCCUGACGGAGCAAUACCGCGUGAGGGAGGAAGGCUCUUGGGUUGUAAACCUCUUUUCUCAGGGAAGAACACAAUGACGGUACCUGAGGAAUCAGCAUCGGCUAACUCCGUGCCAGCAGCCGCGGUAAUACGGAGGAUGCAAGCGUUAUCCGGAAUGAUUGGGCGUAAAGCGUCCGCAGGUGGCUGUGUAAGUCUGCUGUCAAAGAGCAAAGCUCAACUUUGUAAAGGCAGUGGAAACUACACGGCUAGAGUGCGUUCGGGGCAGAGGGAAUUCCUGGUGUAGCGGUGAAAUGCGUAGAGAUCAGGAAGAACACCGGUGGCGAAGGCGCUCUGCUAGGCCGCAACUGACACUGAGGGACGAAAGCUAGGGGAGCGAAUGGGAUUAGAUACCCCAGUAGUCCUAGCUGUAAACGAUGGA
This 764-nucleotide ribosomal RNA is filed under the name uncultured bacterium. RNAcentral's name for it is "bacterial SSU rRNA". It matches the Rfam family "Bacterial small subunit ribosomal RNA", at positions 1 to 813 of the family's 1533-position model. The record is from RNAcentral.